AACGAACGCUGGCGGCGUGCUUAACACAUGCAAGUCGAACGGAAAGGCCCUGCUUUUGUGCGGUGCUCGAGUUGCGAACUGGUGAGUAACACGUAGGUAACCUGCCCUUGACUGUGGGAUAACUUCAGGAAACUGGGGCUAAUACCGGCUAGGAGCUCCUGCUGCUUGGUGGGCGUUGGAAAGUUUCGGCGGUUGGGGAUGGACUCGCGGCCUAUCAGCUUGUUGCUGGGGUAGUGGCUUACCAAGGCAUGGACAGGUGGCCGGCCUGGGAGGGUGACCGGCCCCGUCACGCUGGGACUACGGCACGGCCCCCUACGGGAGGCAGCAGUGGGGAGGAGUGUAUAAUGGGAGGAAGCAUGAUGUAGUCCAGCCGCGUGCGGGAAGACGGCAUGGGGGUUGUAUUCCGCUUCCGCCUUAGACGAAGUGUGAGUGACGGUACCGGGUAAAGAAGCACCGGCUAACUACGUG
This 468-nucleotide ribosomal RNA is filed under the name uncultured bacterium. RNAcentral's name for it is "partial 16S ribosomal RNA". It matches the Rfam family "Bacterial small subunit ribosomal RNA", at positions 28 to 507 of the family's 1533-position model. The record is from RNAcentral.